GACCUGAUAGCUCAGUGGUUAGAGCAUCUGGGAUCUUUCCAGAGGGCCUGGGUUCAAUCCCCAGUCUGGUCA
This is a non-coding RNA of Gymnopilus junonius, 72 nucleotides long. The record is from the annotation of a GenBank genome assembly. NCBI's taxonomy places the organism in Eukaryota, Fungi, Basidiomycota, Agaricomycetes, Agaricales, Galerinaceae.